RNAcentral lists this ribosomal RNA (301 nucleotides) under uncultured bacterium. Its description in RNAcentral is "partial 16S ribosomal RNA". It matches the Rfam family "Bacterial small subunit ribosomal RNA", at positions 509 to 807 of the family's 1533-position model. The record is from RNAcentral.
CAGUCGCCGCGGUAAUACGGAGGAUCCAAGCGUUAUCCGGAAUCAUUGGGUUUAAAGGGUCCGUAGGCGGUCUUGUAAGUCAGUGGUGAAAGCCCAUCGCUCAACGGUGGAACGGCCAUUGAUACUGCAGGACUUGAAUUAUUGGGAAGUAACUAGAAUAUGUAGUGUAGCGGUGAAAUGCUUAGAGAUUACAUGGAAUAUCAAUUGCGAAGGCAGGUUACUACCAAUUGAUUGACGCUGAUGGACGAAAGCGUGGGUAGCGAACAGGAUUAGAUACCCCCGUAGUCCCUGUCUCUUAUAC